RNAcentral lists this ribosomal RNA (1939 nucleotides) under uncultured fungus. RNAcentral's name for it is "bacterial SSU rRNA". The stretch from base 1 to 656 matches the Rfam family "Eukaryotic small subunit ribosomal RNA", at positions 1158 to 1831 of the family's 1831-position model. Lineage: Eukaryota; Fungi. The record is from RNAcentral.
GGAAGGGCACCACCAGGAGUGGAGCCUGCGGCUUAAUUUGACUCAACACGGGGAAACUCACCAGGUCCAGACAUGACUAGGAUUGACAGAUUGAUAGCUCUUUCAUGAUUUUAUGGGUGGUGGUGCAUGGCCGUUCUUAGUUGGUGGAGUGAUUUGUCUGGUUAAUUCCGAUAACGAACGAGACCUUAUCCUGCUAAAUAGCCAGGCUGGCUUUUGCUGGUUGCCGGCUUCUUAGAGGGACUGCGGUAGCGUCUAGCCCGCGGAAGUUUGAGGCAAUAACAGGUCUGUGAUGCCCUUAGAUGUUCUGGGCCGCACGCGCGCUACACUGACAGAGCCAGCGAGUUUUUUUCCUUGACCGGAAGGUCUGGGUAAUCUUGUGAAACUCUGUCGUGCUGGGGAUAGAGCAUUGCAAUUAUUGCUCUUCAACGAGGAAUUCCUAGUAAGCGUGAGUCAUCAGCUCACGUUGAUUACGUCCCUGCCCUUUGUACACACCGCCCGUCGCUACUACCGAUUGAAUGGCUUAGUGAGGUCUUCGGAUUGGCUUCGGGGAGCCGGCAACGGCACUUUGUUGCUGAGAAGUUGAUCAAACUUGGUCAUUUAGAGGAAGUAAAAGUCGUAACAAGGUUUCCGUAGGUGAACCUGCGGAAGGAUCAUUAAAGAGAUAAACAGACGUUGAAAAGGGGUUGUUGCUGGCCACCUUGGCAUGUGCACACCUUUGAUCACGUUUAUCCACCUCUUAUACACCUGUGCACAACCUGUAGCUUAGGUGGUGAUUUUUAUAGCAUUUGAAAGAUAGUGUUGAAACACCCCUUUAAGCUACGAAUUUUCAUACACACAUACUUGUAAUAAUGUUGAAAUGGGGGGAAUAUAAAUAAAUACAACUUUCAGCAACGGAUCUCUUGGCUCUCGCAUCGAUGAAGAACGCAGCGAAAUGCGAUAAGUAAUGUGAAUUGCAGAAUUCAGUGAAUCAUCGAAUCUUUGAACACACCUUGCGCUCCUUGGUAUUCCGAGGAGUAUGCCUGUUUGAGUGUCAUGAAACUCUCAACUGCUUCAGCUUGUUGCUGAAGUGAAGUUGGAUUUGGAGGAUAAUUGCUGGCGCAUGUAUUAGCUUGUCAGCUCCUCUUGAAUGGAUGAACUUUCCGGUAGAUCAUGGUGAAGUAACAGUGAUGUGAUAACUAAUCUACAUCAGAUGUAAAAGCCAUUGAAUAGAGAGUUCUCUUUAUUAGAGAAUCUCCUACAGAGAAAGAAAUCUCACGUCUCUCUAUAAGAAAGAUGAAACUUCAUAAUGAAUUUGACCUCAAAUCAGGUAGGACUACCCGCUGAACUUAAGCAUAUCAAUAAGCGGAGGAAAAGAAACUAACAAGGAUUCCCCUAGUAACUGCGAGUGAAGCGGGAAAAGCUCAAAUUUAAAAUCUGGCGUACCUUUGGUCGUCCGAGUUGUAGUCUGGAGAAGUGUUUUCUGUGCUGGACCGUAUACAAGUCCCUUGGAACAGGGCGUCAUAGAGGGUGAGAAUCCCGUCUUUGAUACGGACUACCAGUGCUUUGUGAUGCGCUCUCAAAGAGUCGAGUUGUUUGGGAAUGCAGCUCAAAAUGGGUGGUAAAUUCCAUCUAAAGCUAAAUACAGGCGAGAGACCGAUAGCGAACAAGUACCGUGAGGGAAAGAUGAAAAGCACUUUGGAAAGAGAGUUAAACAGUACGUGAAAUUGCUGAAAGGGAAACGCUUGAAGUCAGUUGCAUCUGCCAGAACUCAGCCUUGCUUCUGCUUGGUGCACUUUCUGGUUUGAUGGGCCAGUAUCAAUUUUGACUGUUGGAGAAAGGUUUAGGGAAUGUGGCACCUCCGGGUGUGUUAUAGCCCUUUACUGUAUACAACAGUUAGGAUUGAGGACUGCAGCAUGCCUUAAUGGCUGGGGUUUUGCCCACAUACAUGCUUAGGAUACUG